Molecule: ribosomal RNA, 473 nt
Filed under: uncultured bacterium
Lineage: Bacteria
Description: partial 16S ribosomal RNA
Rfam family: Bacterial small subunit ribosomal RNA
Source: RNAcentral
AGCGAACGCUGGCGGCAGGCCUAACACAUGCAAGUCGAACGAACCUUUCGGGGUUAGUGGCGGACGGGUGAGUAACACGUGGGAACGUGCCUUUAGGUUCGGAAUAACUCAGGGAAACUUGUGCUAAUACCGAAUGUGCCCUUCGGGGGAAAGAUUAAUCGCCUUUAGAGCGGCCCGCGUCUGAUUAGCUAGUUGGUUGAGGUAAUGGCUCACCAAGGCGACGAUCAGUAGCUGGUCUGAGAGGAUGAUCAGCCACAUUGGGACUGAGACACGGCCCAAACACCGAGGGGGGGCAGCAGGGGAGAAUGCAGCGCGGCGGGCGAAAGGCGAACACAGCCAUGAGGCGUGUAGAGAGAAGGUCUGAGUAUAGUAUAACCAUUCCACGGGGAACGAUAAGCACGGUGCGCGGGGAAGCACCCCCGACUAACUGCGUGCCAGCGGCGGAGGUAGGAGAUAGACGCACACGUCCGAAC